UCCCUGGUGGUCCAGUGGCUAAGAUUCCGAGCUCCCAAUGAAGGGGGCCCAGGUUCAAUCCCUGGUCAGGGAA
This is a non-coding RNA of Bos taurus (domestic cattle), 73 nucleotides long. The record is from Rfam. NCBI's taxonomy places the organism in Eukaryota, Metazoa, Chordata, Mammalia, Artiodactyla, Bovidae.